This 324-nucleotide unclassified non-coding RNA is filed under the name soil metagenome. Its description in RNAcentral is "partial contains 5.8S ribosomal RNA, internal transcribed spacer 2, and large subunit ribosomal RNA". The stretch from base 1 to 120 matches the Rfam family "5.8S ribosomal RNA", at positions 35 to 154 of the family's 154-position model. The record is from RNAcentral.
GAUGAAGAACGCAGCGAAAUGCGAUAAGUAAUGCGAAUUGCAGAAUUCAGUGAGUCAUCGAAUCUUUGAACGCACAUUGCGCCCUGUGGUAUUCCGCAGGGCAUGCCUGUUCGAGCGUCAUUUCAACCCUCAAGCCUCGCUUGGUGUUGGGCCCUGCCCGCCGCGGCCGGCCCUAAAGAUAGUGGCGGCGCCGCCUGGCCCUCAGCGUAGUACAGCUCUCGCUCCAGGGUCCGGCGGCAGCCUGCCAGAACCCCCCAACUCUGUGGUUGACCUCGGAUCAGGUAGGGAUACCCGCUGAAUUUAAGCAUAUCAAUAAGCGGAGGA